Maniola jurtina (meadow brown) is the source of this 581-nucleotide long non-coding RNA. RefSeq lists it as uncharacterized. NCBI's taxonomy places the organism in Eukaryota, Metazoa, Arthropoda, Insecta, Lepidoptera, Nymphalidae. The transcript is spliced from 3 exons. The record is from RefSeq and is a predicted model, not a curated record.
UGAUCAAUAUACCUAUAGUGCAUACAUUCUGAGAACGCACACGCUAUAUUUGCUCUAUGUAUCAACUUUCAUGUCGAACACUUGUCACAGAUCAAAUACGGCGAGUGCGUUCUCAAAAUGUAUGCAUUAUACAUUUGUUUUAGAUUUAAAUUUCAAUAUCGUCGCUUAAGUUCUAACACCACGUAAGCCAGUUUUGAUAUACCUAUUGAUGCGAUUCAUUAGACUCUGCUAGAGAGUGGAGAGAUGCGUCGUUUCUGGCAACCAGAAACAAGAAAACAUCCAAUAGAAGAAUAAAAAGUAACUGUACGGUAUACAUCAAACAUUCCAAACCUCUGAAUAGCAAGGUUUUGUGACUCUCCUGUAAAGAUGCUAAUUUUGACUUACGUAGUGAACUUACCGACGAAUCAUAAAGAGCCAAGCAACGACAACUUUUUUAAUACAGAUUAACUAAGAACUAAUGCAAUCGUAAAUGCACAAUCAGUUAAAUUUUAAAAACGUUAAUUUAACUAACUAAAAUUGAUUAAUCCGGUUAGCUAAAGGUUAAAAGGACUAUGCUAUUGAAUCACGACAUCAAUAGUCAA